Long non-coding RNA from Pan troglodytes (chimpanzee), 502 nucleotides. RefSeq lists it as uncharacterized. The transcript has 2 exons. The record is from RefSeq and is a predicted model, not a curated record. Lineage: Eukaryota; Metazoa; Chordata; Mammalia; Primates; Hominidae.
UCAGCUAGAUUAAGACCCAGAAAGGGGAGUUCCUAUCAAAGAUGGUACUAUAGAAAAGGAUUUCUGCAGGCUGCACAAGAAGCACGGCACCAGCAUCCACUUAUGAUGAGGAUAUCUGGCUGCUUUCACUUAUGGUAGAAGGGGAAGAGGAGCCAGCAUGUACACAAAUCCAUGGCAAGAGAGAAAGCAAGAGACAGAUAAAGUGAGAAAGACCAAGAGGAGGUGCCAGGCUCUUUUUAACAACCAGCUCUCACUCAUUACAGCAAGGACUGCACCAAGCCAUUCAUGUGGGAUCCACCCACGUGACCCAAACACCUCCCAUUAAGUUCCACCUCUAACACUGGAGAUCAAAUUUUAACAUGAGAUUUGGAGGAGUGCAAUAUCCUUACUGUUGCAUUUUGUCUCUGGCCCAAAACUUAUGUUCUUCUCACAUUUUUCCAGUUUUUAUGCUGUUUCCCUUUUAAUUAUAAAUACCACCUUUGGGGCAUUCUUUUGUUACUAA